This 403-nucleotide ribosomal RNA is filed under the name Fusobacteriota bacterium. RNAcentral describes it as "Fusobacteria bacterium partial 16S ribosomal RNA". It matches the Rfam family "Bacterial small subunit ribosomal RNA", at positions 355 to 776 of the family's 1533-position model. Lineage: Bacteria; Fusobacteriati; Fusobacteriota. The record is from RNAcentral.
UGGGGAAUAUUGCACAAUGGAGGGAACUCUGAUGCAGCGACGCCGCGUGAACGAAGAAGGCUUUCGAGUCGUAAAGUUCUUUUAUAUGGGAAGAUAAUGACGGUACCAUAAGAAAAAGCCCCGGCUAACUACGUGCCAGCAGCCGCGGUAAUACGAAGGGGGCUAGCGUUGUCCGGAAUCACUGGGCGUAAAGGGUUCGCAGGCGGAAAUGCAAGUCAGGUGUAAAAGGCAGUAGCUUAACUACUGUAAGCAUUUGAAACUGCAUAUCUUGAGAAGAGUAGAGGUAAGUUGAAUUUUUAGUGUAGCGGUGAAAUGCGUAGAUAGUAAAAAGAAUGCCGGUGGCGAAGGCGACUUACUGGGCUCAUUCUGACGCUGAGGAACGAAAGCGUGGGUAGCAAACAGG